Molecule: small nuclear RNA, 103 nt
Organism: Callithrix jacchus (white-tufted-ear marmoset)
Lineage: Eukaryota; Metazoa; Chordata; Mammalia; Primates; Cebidae
Source: Ensembl
GUGCUCACGUUGGCAGCACACACACUAAAAUUGAAAUGAUAGAGAUUAACAAUGGCUCCUGUGCAAGGAUGACAUGCAGUUCUGUAAUGCAUUUCAUAUGUUU